Molecule: ribosomal RNA, 429 nt
Filed under: Podarcis tiliguerta
Lineage: Eukaryota; Metazoa; Chordata; Lepidosauria; Squamata; Lacertidae
Description: partial 16S ribosomal RNA
Rfam family: Bacterial large subunit ribosomal RNA
Source: RNAcentral
UUGUCCCCUAAAUAGGGACUAGUAUGAACGGCUAAAUGAGGACAAAACUGUCUCUUACGGACUGGCCAAUGAAAUUGAUUUUCCUGUACAAAAGCCGGAAUAUACCCAUAAGACGAGAAGACCCUGUGGAGCUUCAAAACCAAAAUCACCAAACAUGCUUCUUGGUUUUUUAGUUGGGGCGACUUUGGAGCAAAAAAAACCCUCCAAAACAUAAAUCUAUUUAUUAAGACUAACACACCAAAAAUAAUUUUAUAGACCCAGCAGUAUUUUUUACUGACUGACCAAUGAACCAAGUUACCCCAGGGAUAACAGCGCCAUCCUCUUCUAGAGUCCAUAUCGACAAGAGGGUUUACGACCUCGAUGUUGGAUCAGGACACCCCUAUGGUGCAGUCGCUAUAAAAGGUUCGUUUGUUCAACGAUUAAAGUCCU